AUCUUUAAGUGUGUAAUUUAAAGUAAAACCUGCUCAAUGUAUUUAGUAAUAAAUGGCCGCAGUACUCUGUGCUAAGGUAGCAUAAUCAUUAGCUUUCUAAUUAAAAGAUAGAAUGAAUGGUUAAACGAGACACUUACUGUUUCACAAUUAAAUAAUAAAAUUAAACAAAUAGUAAAAAUACUAUUACUUUAAAGAAAGACGAUAAGACCCUGUAAACUCAUUAAUUGGCUGGGGUGGCAUAAUAAAAAAACCUUAAAAGUAUUAUCAUACAAAACAAACAAAGUUUAUUAAGAAGAAGUUACUACAGGGAUAACAGCGCUACUUUUUUCUAAAGCUCUGAUAAAAAAAAUUACUACGACCUCGAUGUUGAAUUAUACACCUCUAAAUUAGACGAAAAAGUCAUAAAAGGUAGUCUGUUCGACUAUUAAAAAUUU
Molecule: ribosomal RNA, 434 nt
Filed under: Mesabolivar kathrinae
Lineage: Eukaryota; Metazoa; Arthropoda; Arachnida; Araneae; Pholcidae
Description: partial 16S ribosomal RNA
Source: RNAcentral